CGUCAGGUCUUCCCAGUAUGAAAAUGUGAUGCAAGGGCUUUUGCCAUUGACAGCCAUCAGUAUCAUUAAGCCCUGCACAACUGCCGUGCUGUUUCUCAUUUAACAACAGGAAUAAAUGAUGCUCAAC
Molecule: non-coding RNA, 127 nt
Organism: Salmo salar (Atlantic salmon)
Lineage: Eukaryota; Metazoa; Chordata; Actinopteri; Salmoniformes; Salmonidae
Source: RefSeq, a predicted model, not a curated record